UUCUUCCCCGAAGAUUGGAAGAAGAUGAAGGCAGACACACCCUUUGGAGCUCUGCCGAUGCUGGAAAUCCCCGGCAUCGGCACGAUGGCACAUGAGCUUGCGAUGCUGAACUUCAUUGCCAACCAGGUGCCUUCGAUGGCCGGUGAGGGCAAGAAGGACUUUGUCAUCUCCCAACAGCUCCUAUGCGAGGCCGAGGAC
This 198-nucleotide non-coding RNA is filed under the name Crypthecodinium cohnii. Lineage: Eukaryota; Dinophyceae; Gonyaulacales; Crypthecodiniaceae. The record is from RNAcentral.